GCUGUCGUAACUCAGUGGGUAAGAGUGUCGGCCUUAUAAGCCGUUUGCCGCUGGUUCGAAUCCAGCCGACAGCA
This 74-nucleotide transfer RNA is filed under the name Clostridiales bacterium FE2011. RNAcentral describes it as "tRNA-Ile". It matches the Rfam family "tRNA". Rfam says of the family: Transfer RNA (tRNA) molecules are approximately 80 nucleotides in length. Their secondary structure includes four short double-helical elements and three loops (D, anti-codon, and T loops). Lineage: Bacteria; Bacillati; Bacillota; Clostridia; Eubacteriales. The record is from RNAcentral.